GUAAUAGCUCACUGGUCGAGUGAAGUUGCGCGGAAAAUUACCGGGGCUAAGUUAUACACCGAAAUUGCGGAUUCAUUAAGAAAUUAAUGAGUGGUAGAGGAGCGUUCUAUACAGGAUGAAGUAUGAUCGAGAGGACAUAUGGACAGUAUAGAAGAGAGAAUGCCGGAAUGAGUAGCGAGAGCAAAGUGAGAAUCUUUGCCGUCGAAAAUCUAAGGUUUCCUGGGGAAGGUUCGUCCGCCCAGGGUAAGUCGGGACCUAAGGUGAGGCCGAAGGGCGUAGCCGAUGGACAGCAGGUUAAGAUUCCUGCACCAGUAUACAUGUAUAAUGCAUAAGAGGACACAUUUGAAGAAGGUGAGCGAGGAAGAGGAAAAACUCGUAUGGCAACAUAUAGUGAAAUAAAGUAACGAAUCAUCAAGAGGCAAGUGGCGAGAAAAGUCUUAUGUAGUUGUGUAGACUGCCCGUACCGCAAACCGACACAGGUAGAUGAGGAGAGGAUCCUAAGACGAGCGGGAGAAGCAUUGUUAAGGAACUCGGCAAAUUGACCCCGUAACUUAGGGAUAAGGGGUGCUGGUGUAAAAACCAGUCGCAGUAAAUAGGCCCAAGCAACUGUUUAACAAAAACACAGGUUUCUGCUAAAUCGCAAGAUGAAGUAUAGGAGCUGACUCCUGCCCAGUGCUGGAAGGUUAAGGGGAAAGGUUAGGAAUAAUUCAUUAUAUCUGAAGCUUUGAACUCAAGCCCCAGUGAACGGCGGCCGUAACUAUAACGGUCCUAAGGUAGCGAAAUUCCUUGUCAGGUAAGUUCUGACCCGCACGAAAGGAGUAAUGAUUUGGGCACUGUCUCAACAAUGUACCCGGCGAAAUUGUAGUACUAGUGAAGAUGCUAGUUACCUGCGACAAGACGGAAAGACCCCAUGGAGCUUUACUAUAGCCUGAUAUUGGGCUUUGGUAUCUUAUGUACAGGAUAGGUGGGAGACUAUGAGAUUAAGACGCAAGUCUUAAAGGAGUCAACCUUGGAAUACCACCCUUAAGAUAUUAGAGUUCUAACUUGUGAUCAUAAACUGGUCAGAGGACAUUGUCAGGUGGGUAGUUUGACUGGGGCGGUCACCUCCUAAAGAGUAACGGAGGUGCGCAAAGGUUUCCUCGGCACGGUCAGAAAUCGUGCUAAUGAGUGUAAAGGCAUAAGGAAGCUUAACUGAGAGAGAGACAUCUCGAGCAGAUACGAAAGUAGGUCUUAGUGAUCCGGUGGUAGAAAAUGGAAUUGCCAUCGCUCAACGGAUAAAAGUUACCCUGGGGAUAACAGGCUUAUCUCCCCCAAGAGUUCACAUCGACGGGGAGGUUUGGCACCUCGAUGUCGGCUCAUCGCAUCCUGGGGCUGAAGUCGGUCCCAAGGGUUGGGCUGUUCGCCCAUUAAAGCGGUACGCGAGCUGGGUUCAGAACGUCGUGAGACAGUUCGGUCCUUAUCUGUCGCAGGCGCAGGAUAUUUGAGGAGAUCUGCCCCUAGUACGAGAGGACCAGGGUGGACGAACAGAUGGUGCAACAGUUGUUCUACCAAGAGCAUAGCUGUGUAGCCAAGUUCGGAAUGGAUAAACGCUGAGAGCAUCUAAGUGUGAAGCCAACUCCAAGAUAAGAUAUCCCAUACCAUUAAGGUAGU
Molecule: ribosomal RNA, 1650 nt
Filed under: human oral metagenome
Description: bacterial LSU rRNA
Rfam family: Bacterial large subunit ribosomal RNA
Source: RNAcentral